This 73-nucleotide transfer RNA is filed under the name Gemmatimonadetes bacterium RIFCSPLOWO2_02_FULL_71_11. RNAcentral describes it as "tRNA-Ala". It matches the Rfam family "tRNA". From Rfam's summary of the family: Transfer RNA (tRNA) molecules are approximately 80 nucleotides in length. The record is from RNAcentral. Lineage: Bacteria; Pseudomonadati; Gemmatimonadota.
GGGGCGGUAGCUCAGCUGGGAGAGCACCUGGUUUGCAACCAGGGGGUCGGGGGUUCGAAUCCCUUCCGCUCCA